CAGACCUCUAAUCGGAAAAGACUACCCGCUGAGUUUAAGCAUAUCAAUAGCCGGAGGA
This 58-nucleotide ribosomal RNA is filed under the name Drepanocladus aduncus. Its description in RNAcentral is "partial 26S ribosomal RNA". Lineage: Eukaryota; Viridiplantae; Streptophyta; Bryopsida; Hypnales; Amblystegiaceae. The record is from RNAcentral.